GAUGAACGCUGGCGGCGUGCCUAAUACAUGCAAGUCGAGCGAACAGAUAAGGAGCUUGCUCCUUUGACGUUAGCGGCGGACGGGUGAGUAACACGUGGGUAACCUAUCUAUAAGACUGGAAUAACUCCGGGAAACCGGGGCUAAUGCCGGAUAACAUGUUGAACCGCAUGGUUCUACAGUGAAAGGCGGCUUUGCUGUCACUUAUAGAUGGACCCGCGCCGUAUUAGCUAGUUGGUGAGGUAACGGCUCACCAAGGCAACGAUACGUAGCCGACCUGAGAGGGGGAUCGGCCACACUGGAACUGAGACACGGUCCAGACGCCUACGGGAGGCAGCAGUAGGGAAUCUUCCGCAAUGGGCGAAAGCCUGACGGAGCAACGCCGCGUGAGUGAUGAAGGUCUUCGGAUCGUAAAACUCUGUUAUUAGGGAAGAACAAAUGCGUAAGUAACUGUGCGCGUCUUGACGGUACCUAAUCAGAAAGCCACGGCUAACUACGUG
Molecule: ribosomal RNA, 497 nt
Filed under: uncultured bacterium
Lineage: Bacteria
Description: partial 16S ribosomal RNA
Rfam family: Bacterial small subunit ribosomal RNA
Source: RNAcentral